RNAcentral lists this ribosomal RNA (445 nucleotides) under uncultured bacterium. RNAcentral's name for it is "bacterial SSU rRNA". It matches the Rfam family "Bacterial small subunit ribosomal RNA", at positions 330 to 792 of the family's 1533-position model. The record is from RNAcentral.
UCCAGACUCCUACGGGAGGCAGCAGUGGGGGAUAUUGCACAAUGGGGGAAACCCUGAUGCAGCGAUGCCGCGUGAAUGAAGACGGCCUUCGGGUUGUAAAGUUCUGUCGCAGGGGACGAAAAUGACGGUACCCUGCAAGAAAGCUCCGGCUAACUACGUGCCAGCAGCCGCGGUAAUACGGAGGGUGCAAGCGUUAAUCGGAAUUACUGGGCGUAAAGCGCACGCAGGCGGUUGAUUGAGUCAGAUGUGAAAUCCCCGGGCUUAACCCGGGAAUUGCAUCUGAUACUGGUCAGCUAGAGUCUUGUAGAGGGGGGUAGAAUUCCAUGUGUAGCGGUGAAAUGCGUAGAGAUGUGGAGGAAUACCGGUGGCGAAGGCGGCCCCCUGGACAAAGACUGACACUCAGGUGCGAAAGCGUGGGGAGCAAACAGGAUUAGAUACCCCAGUA